This 74-nucleotide transfer RNA is filed under the name uncultured Actinomycetes bacterium. RNAcentral's name for it is "uncultured actinobacterium tRNA-Ala". It matches the Rfam family "tRNA". From Rfam's summary of the family: Transfer RNA (tRNA) molecules are approximately 80 nucleotides in length. Their secondary structure includes four short double-helical elements and three loops (D, anti-codon, and T loops). The record is from RNAcentral. Lineage: Bacteria; Bacillati; Actinomycetota; Actinomycetes. RNAcentral also lists the same sequence under 1 other name.
GGGGGAUUAGCUCAGUUGGUAGAGCGCUGCCUUUGCAAGGCAGAUGUCAGGAGUUCGAGUCUCCUAUCCUCCAC